This 376-nucleotide ribosomal RNA is filed under the name uncultured bacterium. Its description in RNAcentral is "bacterial SSU rRNA". It matches the Rfam family "Bacterial small subunit ribosomal RNA", at positions 407 to 796 of the family's 1533-position model. The record is from RNAcentral.
GAUGACGGCCUUCGGGUUGUAAACCUCUUUCGCAGGGAAGAAGCGAGAGUGACGGUACCUGCAGAAGAAGCGCCGGCUAACUACGUGCCAGCAGCCGCGGUAAUACGUAGGGCGCAAGCGUUGUCCGGAAUUAUUGGGCGUAAAGAGCUCGUAGGCGGCUUGUCGCGUCGGUUGUGAAAGCCCGGGGCUUAACCCCGGGUCUGCAGUCGAUACGGGCAGGCUAGAGUUCGGUAGGGGAGAUCGGAAUUCCUGGUGUAGCGGUGAAAUGCGCAGAUAUCAGGAGGAACACCGGUGGCGAAGGCGGAUCUCUGGGCCGAUACUGACGCUGAGGAGCGAAAGCGUGGGGAGCGAACAGGAUUAGAUACCCUGGUAGUCC